Molecule: microRNA precursor, 81 nt
Organism: Pediculus humanus corporis (human body louse)
Lineage: Eukaryota; Metazoa; Arthropoda; Insecta; Psocodea; Pediculidae
Source: RefSeq, a predicted model, not a curated record
CAUCCGUUUCCAAAAAUCAGUUUAAUAUUCUGGACCCUCAAUGAGGGUCGUAUCAGAUAUUAAGCUGAUAAGAACAGAUAC